Long non-coding RNA from Perca fluviatilis (European perch), 308 nucleotides. RefSeq lists it as uncharacterized. The transcript has 3 exons. The record is from RefSeq and is a predicted model, not a curated record. NCBI's taxonomy places the organism in Eukaryota, Metazoa, Chordata, Actinopteri, Perciformes, Percidae.
AGAAGAUCUCUGAACCAAUGCAGACGUCUGAUGGACAGCGGACGGUUUCUGUCUUGUCCUUUAGAGAUUGUGGACUAACAUGAGCCGAGGAACCGACUGAAUGAUCACCAGGAGCCUCAGGAGGAGGACAGAAUUCCAGCCAGAGGACAGCUGCUGCUGCUGUUGCUGCUGCAUACGCUGCAUACGCUGCAGCCACCGUUGUCAAUGCACCCGCCUCCGUUGCCGUUGCUGGUGGUGACGAUGAUGAUGUCAUGGAGUGGGAGUCUGCAGGGGAGGAACCGAUGGAGUGGGAAUCUGCUGGGACAGUA